RNAcentral lists this ribosomal RNA (500 nucleotides) under uncultured bacterium. RNAcentral's name for it is "bacterial SSU rRNA". It matches the Rfam family "Bacterial small subunit ribosomal RNA", at positions 30 to 527 of the family's 1533-position model. The record is from RNAcentral.
AUUGAACGCUGGCGGAAUGCUUUACACAUGCAAGUCGAACGGCAGCACGGGGCAACCUGGUGGCGAGUGGCGAACGGGUGAGUAAUACAUCGGAACGUGCCCAAUCGUGGGGGAUAACGUAGCGAAAGUUACGCUAAUACCGCAUACGAUCUACGGAUGAAAGCGGGGGAUCGCAAGACCUCGCGCGAGUGGAGCGGCCGAUGUCAGAUUAGGUAGUUGGUGGGGUAAAGGCUCACCAAGCCAACGAUCUGUAGCUGGUCUGAGAGGACGACCAGCCACACUGGAACUGAGACACGGUCCAGACUCCUACGGGAGGCAGCAGUGGGGAAUUUUGGACAAUGGGCGCAAGCCUGAUCCAGCCAUUCCGCGUGCAGGAUGAAGGCCUUCGGGUUGUAAACUGCUUUUGUACGGAACGAAACGGCGAGCUCUAAUACAGUUGCUAAUGACGGUACCGUAAGAAUAAGCACCGGCUAACUACGUGCCAGCAGCCGCGGUAAACG